Molecule: unclassified non-coding RNA, 216 nt
Filed under: Hevea brasiliensis (rubber tree)
Lineage: Eukaryota; Viridiplantae; Streptophyta; Magnoliopsida; Malpighiales; Euphorbiaceae
Source: RNAcentral
ACACAUAAAUGCAGGAGAGUACUAAGUUUCUUUUAGAUCAGGUGGAUAACUUAGUGAACUUGGUAUAGCUGGUCUCUAGCACAUCUAUACCAAUUACAGAAAACCUCCCUUUGACUUCAUUGUAGUCAUUUCCUCUUACAAUUACUUAAAACUCCUUCAGGAUGUCUCCUAAUUGUUAUUUAAUCAAAUGUAAAUGCAUAGUAAACCCCAUCAAAA